AGAGUAAAGGUACAGGCGUUGGCGAAAGCCGAAGUGCCGCGCGGACGGGGAGUUGCCGUGCGGACGAAACAGACAGGGAAACGGAGACCGGGCGGGGAGAAAAACCGCCUGCUUUCCCCCGGGGUCUUGCGGUUUGUACCUUGCAUCCCGCU
Molecule: non-coding RNA, 152 nt
Filed under: pig gut metagenome
Description: THF riboswitch
Rfam family: THF (Tetrahydrofolate) riboswitch aptamer
About the family: THF riboswitch presents a pseudoknot that joins P1-P2 and the loop of P3 and two THF binding.
Source: RNAcentral